GACGAACGCUGGCGGCGUGCCUAAUACAUGCAAGUCGAGCGAACGGACGAGAAGCUUGCUUUUCUGAUGUUAGCGGCGGACGGGUGAGUAACACGUGGAUAACCUACCUAUAAGACUGGGAUAACUUCGGGAAACCGGAGCUAAUACCGGAUAAUAUUUUGAACCGCAUGGUUCAAAAGUGAAAGACGGUCUUGCUGUCACUUAUAGAUGGAUCCGCGCUGCAUUAGCUAGUUGGUAAGGUAACGGCUUACCAAGGCAACGAUGCAUAGCCGGCCUGAGAGGGUGAUCGGCCACACUGGAACUGAGACACGGUCCAGACUCCUACGGGAGGCAGCAGUAGGGAAUCUUCCGCAAUGGGCGAAAGCCUGACGGAGCAACGCCGCGUGAGUGAUGAAGGUCUUCGGAUCGUAAAACUCUGUUAUUAGGGAAGAACAUAUGUGUAAGUAACUGUGCACAUCUUGACGGUACCUAAUCAGAAAGCCACGGCUAACUACGUACCAGCAGCCGCGGUAAUACGUAGGUGGCAAGCGUUAUCCGGAAUUAUUGGGCGUAAAGCGCGCGUAGGCGGUUUUUUAAGUCUGAUGUGAAAGCCCACGGCUCAACCGUGGAGGGUCAUUGGAAACUGGAAAACUUGAGUGCAGAAGAGGAAAGUGGAAUUCCAUGUGUAGCGGUGAAAUGCGCAGAGAUAUGGAGGAACACCAGUGGCGAAGGCGACUUUCUGGUCUGUAACUGACGCUGAUGUGCGAAAGCGUGGGGAUCAAACAGGAUUAGAUACCCUGGUAGUCCACGCCGUAAACGAUGAGUGCUAAGUGUUAGGGGGUUUCCGCCCCUUAGUGCUGCAGCUAACGCAUUAAGCACUCCGCCUGGGGAGUACGACCGCAAGGUUGAAACUCAAAGGAAUUGACGGGGACCCGCACAAGCGGUGGAGCAUGUGGUUUAAUUCGAAGCAACGCGAAGAACCUUACCAAAUCUUGACAUCCUUUGACAACUCUAGAGAUAGAGCCUUCCCCUUCGGGGGACAAAGUGACAGGUGGUGCAUGGUUGUCGUCAGCUCGUGUCGUGAGAUGUUGGGUUAAGUCCCGCAACGAGCGCAACCCUUAAGCUUAGUUGCCAUCAUUAAGUUGGGCACUCUAAGUUGACUGCCGGUGACAAACCGGAGGAAGGUGGGGAUGACGUCAAAUCAUCAUGCCCCUUAUGAUUUGGGCUACACACGUGCUACAAUGGACAAUACAAAGGGCAGCGAAACCGCGAGGUCAAGCAAAUCCCAUAAAGUUGUUCUCAGUUCGGAUUGUAGUCUGCAACUCGACUACAUGAAGCUGGAAUCGCUAGUAAUCGUAGAUCAGCAUGCUACGGUGAAUACGUUCCCGGGUCU
RNAcentral lists this ribosomal RNA (1372 nucleotides) under uncultured bacterium. RNAcentral's name for it is "bacterial SSU rRNA". It matches the Rfam family "Bacterial small subunit ribosomal RNA", at positions 28 to 1381 of the family's 1533-position model. The record is from RNAcentral.